UUGCACGCUGGCGGCAGGCCUAACCCCUGCCGGUCGAACGGUAACAGAAAGCAGCUUGCUGCUUUGCUGACGAGUGGCGGACGGGUGAGUAAUGUCUAGGAAACUGCCUGAUGGAGGGGGAUAACUACUGGAAACGGUAGCUAAUACUGCAUAACGUCGCAAGACCAAAGAGGGGGACCUUCGGGCCUCUUGCCAUCGGAUGUGCCCAGAUGGGAUUAGCUAGUAGGUGGGGUAACGGCUCACCUAGGCGACGAUCCCUAGCUGGUCUGAGAGGAUGACCAGCCACACUGGAACUGAGACACGGUCCAGACUCCUACGGGAGGCAGCAGUGGGGAAUAUUGCACAAUGGGCGCAAGCCUGAUGCAGCCAUGCCGCGUGUAUGAAGAAGGCCUUCGGGUUGUAAAGUACUUUCAGCGGGGAGGAAGGGAGUAAAGUUAAUACCUUUGCUCAUUGACGUUACCCGCAGAAGAAGCACCGGCUAACUCCGUG
Molecule: ribosomal RNA, 489 nt
Filed under: uncultured bacterium
Lineage: Bacteria
Description: partial 16S ribosomal RNA
Rfam family: Bacterial small subunit ribosomal RNA
Source: RNAcentral